Molecule: ribosomal RNA, 1247 nt
Filed under: Red suture phytoplasma
Lineage: Bacteria; Bacillati; Mycoplasmatota; Mollicutes; Acholeplasmatales; Acholeplasmataceae
Description: bacterial SSU rRNA
Rfam family: Bacterial small subunit ribosomal RNA
Source: RNAcentral
GAAACGACUGCUAAGACUGGAUAGGAAAAGUAAAGGCAUCUUUACUUUUUUAAAAGAUCUUCUUUGAAGGUAUGCUUAAGGAGGGGCUUGCGACACAUUAGUUAGUUGGUAGGGUAAAGGCCUACCAAGACUAUGAUGUGUAGCUGGACUGAUAGGUUGAACAGCCACAUUGGGACUGAGACACGGCCCAAACUCCUACGGGAGGCAGCAGUAGGGAAUUUUCGGCAAUGGAGGAAACUCUGACCGAGCAACGCCGCGUGAACGAUGAAGUACCUCGGUAUGUAAAGUUCUUUUAUUAAGGAAGAAAAAAGAGUGGAAAAACUCCCUUGACGGUACUUAAUGAAUAAGCCCCGGCUAAUUACCUGCCAGCAGCCGCGGUAAUACAUAAGGGGCGAGCGUUAUCCGGAAUUAUUGGGCGUAAAGGGUGCGUAGGCGGUUUAAUAAGUCUAUAGUUUAAUUUCAGUGCUUAACGCUGUUGUGCUAUAGAAACUGUUUUACUAGAGUGAGAUAGAGGCAAGCGGAAUUCCAUGUGUAGCGGUAAAAUGCGUAAAUAUAUGGAGGAACACCAGAGGCGUAGGCGGCUUGCUGGGUCUUUACUGACGCUGAGGCACGAAAGCGUGGGGAGCAAACAGGAUUAGAUACCCUGGUAGUCCACGCCGUAAACGAAGAGUACUAAGUGUCGGGUAAAACUGGUACUGAAGUUAACACAUUAAGUACUCCGCCUGAGUAGUACGUACGCAAGUAUGAAACUUAAAGGAAUUGACGGGACUCCGCACAAGCGGUGGAUCAUGUUGUUUAAUUCGAAGAUACACGAAAGACCUUACCAGGUCUUGACAUUUUCUUGCGAAGUUAUAGAAAUAUAAUGGAGGUCAUCAGGAAAACAGGUGGUGCAUGGUUGUCGUCAGCUCGUGUCGUGAGAUGUUAGGUUAAGUCCUAAAACGAGCGCAACCCUUGUCGUUAGUUGCCAGCAUGUAAUGAUGGGGACUUUAACGAGACUGCCAAUGAAAAAUUGGAGGAAGGUGGGGAUUACGUCAAAUCAUCAUGCCCCUUAUGAUCUGGGCUACAAACGUGAUACAAUGGUUGAUACAAAGAGUAGCUGAAACGCGAGUUCUUAGCCAAUCUCAAAAAAUCAAUCUCAGUUCGGAUUGAAGUCUGCAACUCGACUUCAUGAAGUUGGAAUCGCUAGUGAUCGCGAAUCAGCAUGUCGCGGUGAAUACGUUCUCGGGGUUUGUACACACCGCCCGUCA